Molecule: ribosomal RNA, 498 nt
Filed under: uncultured bacterium
Lineage: Bacteria
Description: bacterial SSU rRNA
Rfam family: Bacterial small subunit ribosomal RNA
Source: RNAcentral
ACUCAAAUGAAUAGACGGGGGCCCGCACAAGCGGUGGAGCAUGUGGUUUAAUUCGAGGCAACGCGAAGAACCUUACCAAGGCUUGACAUGGAUAUGCAAACCCGAGAGAUCGGGUCCUCCUUCGGGACAUAUCACACAGGUGGUGCAUGGUUGUCGUCAGCUCGUGUCGUGAGAUGUUGGGUUAAGUCCCGCAACGAGCGCAACCCUUGCGUCCAGUUGCCAGCGGGUGAAGCUGGGCACACUGGAGGGACUGCCGUGGACAACACGGAGGAAGGUGGGGAUGAGGUCAAAUCAUCAUGCCCCUUAUGUCUUGGGCUACACACGUGCUACAAUGGGACUGACAGCGUGGAGCGAAGCGGCGACGCGGAGCGAAACACGAAAAGGUUCCUCAGUUCGGAUUGUAGGCUGCAACCCGCCUGCAUGAAGUUGGAAUCGCUAGUAAUCGCGAAUCAGCACGUCGCGGUGAAUACGUUCCCGGGCCUUGUACACACCGCCCGU